Molecule: ribosomal RNA, 661 nt
Filed under: Melanina gundecimermaniae
Lineage: Eukaryota; Fungi; Ascomycota; Eurotiomycetes; Chaetothyriales
Description: SSU rRNA
Rfam family: Bacterial small subunit ribosomal RNA
Source: RNAcentral
UGUCGCGGUAAUACGUAAAAGACGAGUGUUAUUCAUCUUUAAUCGGUUUAAAGGGUACCUAGACGGAAAAUCAAGCUUAAUUAAACUAAGGACUAGUUUUCUAGAGUUUGACAUGAGAAGGUACGAACUAUCAGAGGAGAGAUAAAAUUUGUUGAUACUGGUGGGACGGACAACGGCGAAGGCAAUCUUCUACUAAAAACUGACGUUGAGGGACGAAGCCUUGGGGAGCGAGAAGGAUUAGAUACCCUAGUAGUCCUUGGAGAAAAUUAUGAGUGCCAUAGACUAAAGUGAAAAAGAAGUUCUUUUAAAAGAACUUUGUAUCUGAGCCUUAAUUGGAUACAAAGGUCUCGAGUAGCAGUUUAUAAAUGAAAGUGUAAGCAUUCCACCUCAUGACUAAAGCGGCAACGCCCAAAUUGAAAUCAUUAGACCGUUUCUGAAACCAGUAGUGAAGUAUGUUAUUUAAUUCGAUAACCCGCGAAUAACCUUACCACGUUUUGAAUUUAUUAAACAAGUGUUGCACGGCUGUCUUCAGUUAAUGUCGUGAGAUUUUGGUUUGUUCCAUUAAUUAACGAAAACCCUUGUUUCAUUUUUAUAUGAAAUAGUUCACCGUUAUAUUGGAAAGAUAAAAGGGAUCAAGACAAGUCAUCAUGGCCUUAAUAAC